GCGGGGGAUAACUAUUGGAAACGAUAGCUAAUACCGCAUAACAAUGGAUGACUGUCAUUUAUUUGAAAGGGGCAAUUGCUCCACUACAAGAUGGACCUGCGUUGUAUUAGCUAGUAGGUGAGGUAAUGGCUCACCUAGGCGACGAUACAUAGCCGACCUGAGAGGGUGAUCGGCCACACUGGGACUGAGACACGGCCCAGACUCCUACGGGAGGCAGCAGUAGGGAAUCUUCGGCAAUGGGGGCAACCCUGACCGAGCAACGCCGCGUGAGUGAAGAAGGUUUUCGGAUCGUAAAGCUCUGUUGUAAGUCAAGAACGGGUGUGAGAGUGGAAAGUUCACACUGUGACGGUAGCUUACCAGAAAGGGACGGCUAACUACGUGCCAGCAGCCGCGGUAAUAC
RNAcentral lists this ribosomal RNA (400 nucleotides) under uncultured Lactobacillus sp. RNAcentral describes it as "bacterial SSU rRNA". It matches the Rfam family "Bacterial small subunit ribosomal RNA", at positions 136 to 526 of the family's 1533-position model. Lineage: Bacteria; Bacillati; Bacillota; Bacilli; Lactobacillales; Lactobacillaceae. The record is from RNAcentral.